AUACUCACCUGGCAGGGGAGAUACUGUGACCAGGCAGGUGGUUCUCCAGAGCAAGGCUUCUCCAUUACAUUUCAUAUGUGCUGAUCCCUGCAAUUUCUCCAAAUUCAAGAAUUUUGGAUGCAAAGCUUGUGGCAGUAAGGACUGUAUUCACACUCUCCUUAA
RNAcentral lists this small nuclear RNA (162 nucleotides) under Peromyscus maniculatus bairdii (prairie deer mouse). RNAcentral's name for it is "U1 spliceosomal RNA (ENSPEMG00000002303.2)". It matches the Rfam family "U1 spliceosomal RNA". From Rfam's summary of the family: U1 is a small nuclear RNA (snRNA) component of the spliceosome (involved in pre-mRNA splicing). Lineage: Eukaryota; Metazoa; Chordata; Mammalia; Rodentia; Cricetidae. The record is from Rfam by way of RNAcentral.